Esox lucius (northern pike) is the source of this 1260-nucleotide long non-coding RNA. RefSeq lists it as uncharacterized. The transcript has 5 exons. The record is from RefSeq and is a predicted model, not a curated record. Lineage: Eukaryota; Metazoa; Chordata; Actinopteri; Esociformes; Esocidae.
CUUCCAUCAAUCCUGCAGGUUGUGAAAAAACACGCAUGUUGCCUUCAAUGAAGGACAGAUGUCGAGCAAUGAAUCGAUCCACUCGAAUAGGCAAGUGUUCAUGCUUGAAAAGGCUGCGUUUGAUGUUUUUAAACUCGGCUUCGACAUUGGCUGAACUUGCAGUGAUUUUGGAGCUCCGGAAGUGAGGGAUCAUUACCCCUGUCCAGAGAGGUCUGUCUGUGUUUGGUCACAUGGAUCCACUUCUUCCAGGUCCGCACCCUCUACAUCUGGAAUGAUGACACACUCUUCUGCAAUUCUGGCUUUUAGCAGUCCCACCGGCAGAUCAUCUUGAUGCAGUGAGCAACAUCAACCCGCACGAAACAAGCAUUUGCACCACUGGGACACUUGAGCUCUCACCCCCUGCCACAACACCCUGAUAAAGGAAUAUAUGGCCAGACUUGCCAUUUGGUCUCUGUAGUUUCCUCACCACUGAGCCAGUUGCAUCAAAACUCACAGUGGGGUUAGUAGAUGUCUUUAAUAAUGUCUUGUACAUAUACAUUUGUGUUUGGCUCCAAUAGUGACAAAAACACUUGUCUAGUCCAAUGUCUUUAAUGCUACCACUGUGAGGGGCACUGUAUUUUAGCAUCUGCAAUGACAGAAUAGGAUCCUUGUCGCCUAAUUCCAAAUCAUUUCUCUCCUGCUUUGCUUUGCGCAGGGUGGCCAAAUUAGGCCGAUGACUUGGCUCAGGAUCUCCAAAAUCCAUCAGCUUUAUUGCCUCUGAUGCCCUCCAUACAUGGGGUUCCUUUCUACCUUCACACAGUUCUUUGGAUAUCUGCACACGCAAGUUACCAGACAUCGGACGUUUGGAACAGCCAGUGUGCAGGGAGUCAUCAGUGUUUUUAAGCGAACACCUGAACAUCAUUGUGCUGUUUAUUUCAGGCUUUUUGUCACAUUUUAUGUGAAUUUGGCCACGACACUCCUUACAGUUGCCUCUGAUUACAAUAUAUUUGUCUGUGACUGAUGGAUAGACCUUGGCUCUUUUAAAAGUAAAUGUGCAGGGGCAUUUCACUUCUUGCCAAAUGUGAUGAUUUAUCACAUGCGUCCAGAUACCAGGCUUCAAAAUUGUGUAUUCCCUUUUUUUUGUUUUAGAGAACUUGUUUUUGUAUGUCACUGUUUCAGGCAUAAAUUCAAUCCAUUUCUGAAAUGGAACUUCAAAAUCAAAAUUGCAGCAAUCUUUUGGACUGGAGGAAAGGGACCCUGGCUCAAAAUCAGUGUCAUCAC